RNAcentral lists this ribosomal RNA (126 nucleotides) under Astyanax mexicanus (Mexican tetra). The record is from RNAcentral. Lineage: Eukaryota; Metazoa; Chordata; Actinopteri; Characiformes; Acestrorhamphidae.
GCUUACGGUCACACUACCCUGAGAACGCCCGAUCUCGUCUGAUCUCGGAAGCUAAGCAGGGUUUGGCCUGGUUCACGUUACCUCUGGAUGCUGGAGACCACCUGGGAAUACCAGGUGCUGUAAGCU